Molecule: ribosomal RNA, 1370 nt
Filed under: uncultured bacterium
Lineage: Bacteria
Description: bacterial SSU rRNA
Rfam family: Bacterial small subunit ribosomal RNA
Source: RNAcentral
GAUGAACGCUGGCGGCGUGCCUAAUACAUGCAAGUCGAGCGAACGGACGAGAAGCUUGCUUCUCUGAUGUUAGCGGCGGACGGGUGAGUAACACGUGGAUAACCUACCUAUAAGACUGGGAUAACUUCGGGAAACCGGAGCUAAUACCGGAUAAUAUUUUGAACCGCAUGGUUCAAAAGUGAAAGACGGUCUUGCUGUCACUUAUAGAUGGAUCCGCGCUGCAUUAGCUAGUUGGUAAGGUAACGGCUUACCAAGGCAACGAUGCAUAGCCGACCUGAGAGGGUGAUCGGCCACACUGGAACUGAGACACGGUCCAGACUCCUACGGGAGGCAGCAGUAGGGAAUCUUCCGCAAUGGGCGAAAGCCUGACGGAGCAACGCCGCGUGAGUGAUGAAGGUCUUCGGAUCGUAAAACUCUGUUAUUAGGGAAGAACAUAUGUGUAAGUAACUGUGCACAUCUUGACGGUACCUAAUCAGAAAGCCACGGCUAACUACGUGCCAGCAGCCGCGGUAAUACGUAGGUGGCAAGCGUUAUCCGGAAUUAUUGGGCGUAAAGCGCGCGUAGGCGGUUUUUAGUCUGAUGUGAAAGCCCACGGCUCAACCGUGGAGGGUCAUUGGAAACUGGAAAACUUGAGUGCAGAAGAGGAAAGUGGAAUUCCAUGUGUAGCGGUGAAAUGCGCAGAGAUAUGGAGGAACACCAGUGGCGAAGGCGACUUUCUGGUCUGUAACUGACGCUGAUGUGCGAAAGCGUGGGGAUCAAACAGGAUUAGAUACCCUGGUAGUCCACGCCGUAAACGAUGAGUGCUAAGUGUUAGGGGGUUUCCGCCCCUUAGUGCUGCAGCUAACGCAUUAAGCACUCCGCCUGGGGAGUACGACCGCAAGGUUGAAACUCAAAGGAAUUGACGGGGACCCGCACAAGCGGUGGAGCAUGUGGUUUAAUUCGAAGCAACGCGAAGAACCUUACCAAAUCUUGACAUCCUUUGACAACUCUAGAGAUAGAGCCUUCCCCUUCGGGGGACAAAGUGACAGGUGGUGCAUGGUUGUCGUCAGCUAGUGUCGUGAGAUGUUGGGUUAAGUCCCGCAACGAGCGCAACCCUUAAGCUUAGUUGCCAUCAUUAAGUUGGGCACUCUAAGUUGACUGCCGGUGACAAACCGGAGGAAGGUGGGGAUGACGUCAAAUCAUCAUGCCCCUUAUGAUUUGGGCUACACACGUGCUACAAUGGACAAUACAAAGGGCAGCGAAACCGCGAGGUCAAGCAAAUCCCAUAAAGUUGUUCUCAGUUCGGAUUGUAGUCUGCAACUCGACUACAUGAAGCUGGAAUCGCUAGUAAUCGUAGAUCAGCAUGCUACGGUGAAUACGUUCCCGGGUCU